RNAcentral lists this ribosomal RNA (200 nucleotides) under uncultured Glomus. Its description in RNAcentral is "partial small subunit ribosomal RNA". It matches the Rfam family "Eukaryotic small subunit ribosomal RNA", at positions 591 to 796 of the family's 1831-position model. The record is from RNAcentral. Lineage: Eukaryota; Fungi; Glomeromycota; Glomeromycetes; Glomerales; Glomeraceae.
CCAAUAGCGUAUAUUAAAGUUGUUGCAGUUAAAAAGCUCGUAGUUGAAUUUCGGGGUCAGUAGGUUGGUCAUGCCAUUGGUAUGUACUGGUCUCACUGAUUCCUCCUUCCUGAUGAGCCGUAAUGCCAUUAAUUUGGUGUUGCGAGGAAUCUGGACUGUUACUUUGAAAAAAUUAGAGUGUUUAAAGCAGGCUAACGCUU